AGGACUAACGCUGGCGGCGUGCCUAACACAUGCAAGUCGAACGAGAGUAGCAAUACUCUAGUGGCAGACGGGUGAGUAACACGUGGUCAACCUACCUCUAUGUGGGGGAUAACUAGCCGAAAGGUUAGCUAAUACCGCAUACGAUCGUCGAGCGGCAUCGCUUGACGAUGAAAGGAGCAAUCCGCAGAGAGACGGGACCGCGUCCCAUUAGCUAGUUGGUGGGGUAAUGGCCUACCAAGGCGACGAUGGGUAGCUGGCUUGAGAGAGCGACCAGCCACACUGGGACUGAGACACGGCCCAGACUCCUACGGGAGGCAGCAGUGAGGAAUUUUCCGCAAUGGGCGAAAGCCUGACGGAGCGACGCCGCGUGUGGGAAGAAGGCCUUCGGGUCGUAAACCACUGUCGAAGGGGAAGAGUAUUGACGGUACCCUUGGAGGAAGCCCGGCUAACUACGUGCUAGCAGCCGC
This 467-nucleotide ribosomal RNA is filed under the name uncultured bacterium. Its description in RNAcentral is "SSU rRNA". It matches the Rfam family "Bacterial small subunit ribosomal RNA", at positions 26 to 518 of the family's 1533-position model. The record is from RNAcentral.